UACGUAGGGUGCGAGCGUUGUCCGGAAUUAUUGGGCGUAAAGAGUUCGUAGGUGGUCUGUUGCGUCGGAAGUGAAAUCCCGGAGCUCAACUCCGGGACUGCUUUCGAUACGGGCAGACUAGAGGUAGGUAGGGGAGAGCGGAAUUCCUGGUGUAGCGGUGGAAUGCGCAGAUAUCAGGAGGAACACCGGUGGCGAAGGCGGCUCUCUGGACCUAUUCUGACACUGAGGAACGAAAGCGUGGGUAGCAAACAGGCUUAGAUACCCUGGUAGUCCACGCCGUAAACGUUGGGCGCUAGGUGUGGGGAACUUUCCACGUUCUCCGUGCCGCAGCUAACGCAUUAAGCGCCCCGCCUGGGGAGUACGGCCGCAAGGCUAAA
RNAcentral lists this ribosomal RNA (377 nucleotides) under uncultured bacterium. RNAcentral's name for it is "bacterial SSU rRNA". It matches the Rfam family "Bacterial small subunit ribosomal RNA", at positions 524 to 898 of the family's 1533-position model. The record is from RNAcentral.